GUACUUUAUUUAUUAUUAAUGUUUUUGUAGUCCUAUAUUUUGUUUGAGUGAUCUCUUUCAUCUGUCGUCCGCAUCUGACAAAGUGUUUUUGUUCUUCUUCGACAUGUCUUGGAGGUGCUGUGUUUCUGGUUGUGGUUCCGAAGGAGUACCUAUAUUUCGUAUUCCAAAAUUGAAUGAAAGUUUAAAAACUGCUUUGAAAGAAAAAAAAAAGGAACGAAGAAUUGUUUGGCUUCAAAAGCUAAACGUGAAGGAAUGUGACUUAAACAACAACACUCGUGUUUGCUCUCAUCAUUUUGCAUCUGGCAGGCCAUGUAAGAAUUCUUUCGAUAACUCUCACCCGGACUGGGCACCUUCACUACACGUCAGAAAUUCUAUUUUUGACAGGGUUGUACAGAGAAACAUUAGUCGACAUUCCAGAAGGCUUGAAAGGGAAUCAAGAACAUUGGAACAGAUCAAUGCUGUCGUAAACAAUGGAAAGAGUGCCGCCAAUAGACAAGAUAAUGAUGUGCCCAAUGCAGUGGUAAACAACGAACAUGAUUGUCUGAUAUGUUGGAAAGUGGAAGCAAUGAUUUUGCAUCUGAACAAGUUCCUAAUUUUUUCGGUGUAGAAAUCAGCGAUGAAUGUAACAACGGUGUUGAAAACCAACAUGAAGCUACUGGAGUCUACAAAAUAUUGGAACUGAUGACAACCCUAGCGGAGUUUUGUCGGGUCGGAUCCCGUGUUGAACCAGUGUGCUUCACCCGUGUGAAGUGUGACACUGGUGAAACACACUGGUGUUACACCUCUUGUUCGCGUGAUAGGGCGGGUUUAACACCGGUGUAAAUUAUAAAGCUUUACCCGCAAAUUUUAUAGUUAUUUUGCACCGGUAUUGUUCUAGUUAAAUAUACCCGUAUAAAGCUCAAAUUUGUCCCAGUGUACUUCUCUGAUUAUCCCUACUAUAUUAACCGGUGUAAUACACUAAUAUGUAACUGGUGCACUUCUCCAGCUGAAAUUUUUGUAUAAUGGGUGCAUAAACCCGUAUCAAACCCUUUACAUGUACUGGUGAUUUUCUCCAGUUUUAAUCUCAUGCAAUUUGUUGGUAGAUCACACUAGUGUUACCCUAUUGCAUUUUUUUGGUGCAUCGCACUGGUUUUGAACCCUUCAAACAUACCAGUUUUCACAGUUACA
Molecule: unclassified non-coding RNA, 1167 nt
Filed under: Daphnia magna
Lineage: Eukaryota; Metazoa; Arthropoda; Branchiopoda; Diplostraca; Daphniidae
Description: uncharacterized LOC116917583, transcript variant X1
Source: RNAcentral